RNAcentral lists this ribosomal RNA (497 nucleotides) under uncultured bacterium. Its description in RNAcentral is "partial 16S ribosomal RNA". It matches the Rfam family "Bacterial small subunit ribosomal RNA", at positions 28 to 507 of the family's 1533-position model. The record is from RNAcentral.
GAUGAACGCUGGCGGCGUGCCUAAUACAUGCAAGUCGAGCGAACAGACGAGGAGCUUGCUCCUCUGACGUUAGCGGCGGACGGGUGAGUAACACGUGGAUAACCUACCUAUAAGACUGGGAUAACUUCGGGAAACCGGAGCUAAUACCGGAUAAUAUAUUGAACCGCAUGGUUCAAUAGUGAAAGACGGUUUUGCUUUCACUUAUAGAUGGAUCCGCGCCGCAUUAGCUAGUUGGUAAGGUAACGGCUUACCAAGGCAACGAUGCGUAGCCGACCUGAGAGGGUGAUCGGCCACACUGGAACUGAGACACGGUCCAGACUCCUACGGGAGGCAGCAGUAGGGAAUCUUCCGCAAAGGGCGAAAGCUUGACGGAGCAACGCCGCGUGAGUGAUGAAGGUCUUCGGAUCGUAAAACUCUGUUAUUAGGGAAGAACAAAUGUGUAAGUAACUAUGCACGUCUUGACGGUACCUAAUCAGAAAGCCACGGCUAACUACGUG